AAUGAACGCUGGCGGCAUGCCUAACGCAUGCAAGUCGAACGAAGGCUUCGGCCUUAGUGGCGCACGGGUGCGUAACGCGUGGGAAUCUGCCCUUGGGUUCGGAAUAACAGUUAGAAAUGACUGCUAAUACCGGAUGAUGUCGUAAGACCAAAGAUUUAUCGCCCAAGGAUGAGCCCGCGUAGGAUUAGCUAGUUGGUGGGGUAAAGGCCUACCAAGGCGACGAUCCUUAGCUGGUCUGAGAGGAUGAUCAGCCACACUGGGACUGAGACACGGCCCAGACUCCUACGGGAAGCAGCAGUGGGGAAUAUUGGACAAUGGGCGAAAGCCUGAUCCAGCAAUGCCGCGUGAGUGAUGAAGGCCUUAGGGUUGUAAAGCUCUUUUACCCGGGAUGAUAAUGACAGUACCGGGAGAAUAAGCUCCGGCUAACUUCGUG
This 433-nucleotide ribosomal RNA is filed under the name uncultured bacterium. RNAcentral's name for it is "partial 16S ribosomal RNA". It matches the Rfam family "Bacterial small subunit ribosomal RNA", at positions 29 to 507 of the family's 1533-position model. The record is from RNAcentral.